Molecule: ribosomal RNA, 439 nt
Filed under: uncultured bacterium
Lineage: Bacteria
Description: partial 16S ribosomal RNA
Rfam family: Bacterial small subunit ribosomal RNA
Source: RNAcentral
CUACGGGUGGCUGCAGUGGGGAAUAAUGGACAAUUGGGGAAACCCUGAUGCAGCGACGCCGCGUGAGCGAUGAAGUAUUUCGGGAUGUAAAGCUCUAUCAGCAGGGAAGACAAUGACGGUACCGGACUACGAAGCCCCGGCUAACUACGUGCCAGCAGCCGCGGUAAUACGUAGGGGGCAAGCGUUAUCCGGAUUGACUGGGGUUAAAGGGAGCGUAGACGGUCCUUGAAGCCAGAUGUGAAAGUCCGGGGCUCAACCCCGGGACUGCAUUUGAAACUGUAAGGCUAGAGUGUCGUAGAGGCAGGCGGAAUUCCUAGUGUAGCGGUGAAAUGCGUAGAUAUUAGGAGGAACACCAGUGGCGAAGGCAGCCUGCUGGACUAUGACUGACGUUGAGGCUCGAAAGCGUGGGGAGCAAACAGGAUUAGAUACCCCUGUAGUC